CUACAGUAGCUUGUCCCCUAGGAUGUGCAAACUUGAAAAUCAAUGUUCACUUCGUUCGGCGCAGUGAUGAAGUCUGCACUUUGAAUUAUUCACAGCACUCUGAGUUAGCUCAUGCUAUCAUGAGAACAACCCAAGAAGAGACAAAUGUAUUGAUUACCUUAAAGUAUUCCGGGAACCCAGUAUUUCAAGGAAAAUGGAACCACCUUAAUUUCAACUGUUUAAUCAACUUUUUAAGAGUACACCAACUUUGGCCUGUCAUACCUGGACGGAUGGUUUGGGAGCUCACCGAGGCCGCCAUUACAGACCAGCCAAUUAGUGAUCCAAAACUUUUAAUGUUUUCUUUGUAAAACUUGAACACAAGAUAAACAAAUCUAAUGUAUUAA
Magallana angulata is the source of this 383-nucleotide long non-coding RNA. RefSeq lists it as uncharacterized. The record is from RefSeq and is a predicted model, not a curated record. NCBI's taxonomy places the organism in Eukaryota, Metazoa, Mollusca, Bivalvia, Ostreida, Ostreidae. The transcript has 3 exons.